Molecule: ribosomal RNA, 411 nt
Filed under: uncultured bacterium
Lineage: Bacteria
Description: bacterial SSU rRNA
Rfam family: Bacterial small subunit ribosomal RNA
Source: RNAcentral
UGGGGAAUAUUGCACAAUGGGCGCAAGCCUGAUGCAGCGACGCCGCGUGCGGGAUGACGGCCUUCGGGUUGUAAACCGCUUUUGAUCGGGAGCAAGCCUUCGGGUGAGUGUACCUUUCGAAUAAGCACCGGCUAACUACGUGCCAGCAGCCGCGGUAAUACGUAGGGUGCAAGCGUUAUCCGGAAUUAUUGGGCGUAAAGGGCUCGUAGGCGGUUCGUCGCGUCCGGUGUGAAAGUCCAUCGCUUAACGGUGGAUCCGCGCCGGGUACGGGCGGGCUGGAGUGCGGUAGGGGAGACUGGAAUUCCCGGUGUAACGGUGGAAUGUGUAGAUAUCGGGAAGAACACCAAUGGCGAAGGCAGGUCUCUGGGCCGUUACUGACGCUGAGGAGCGAAAGCGUGGGGAGCGAACAGG